Molecule: ribosomal RNA, 440 nt
Filed under: uncultured bacterium
Lineage: Bacteria
Description: partial 16S ribosomal RNA
Rfam family: Bacterial small subunit ribosomal RNA
Source: RNAcentral
CCUACGGGAGGCAGCAGUGGGGAAUAUUGCACAAUGGGGGAAACCCUGAUGCAGCGACGCCGCGUGAGUGAAGAAGUCAUUCGUUAUGUAAAGCUCUAUCAGCAGGGAAGAAACAGACGGUACCUGAGUAAGAAGCCCCGGCUAACUACGGGCCAGCAGCCGCGGUAAUACGUAGGGGGCCAGCGUUAUCCGGAUUUUCUGGGUGUAAAGGGAGCGUAGACGGCGAAGCAAGUCUGAAGUGAAAGCCCGCGGCUUAACCGCGGAACUGCUUUUGAAACUUUUUUGCUGGAGUAAUGGAGAGGUAGGCGGAAUUCCUAGUGUAGCGGUGAAAUGCGUAGAUAUUAGGAGGAACACCAGUGGCGAAGGCGGCUUACUGGACAUUAACUGACGUUGAGGCGCGAAAGCGUGGGGAGCAAACAGGAUUAGAUACCCGGGUAGUC